GGCAACGUGGCCGAGUGGUUAUGGCGGUAGACUCAAGUCUCUUGGCUGCUUCAAGCAGUCUGCAUUCUACUGGAGCAAUCCGCAUGGGUUCGAGUCCCAUCGUUGUCA
Transfer RNA from Neofusicoccum parvum, 108 nucleotides. It matches the Rfam family "tRNA". Rfam says of the family: Transfer RNA (tRNA) molecules are approximately 80 nucleotides in length. Lineage: Eukaryota; Fungi; Ascomycota; Dothideomycetes; Botryosphaeriales; Botryosphaeriaceae. The record is from Rfam.